RNAcentral lists this ribosomal RNA (301 nucleotides) under uncultured bacterium. Its description in RNAcentral is "partial 16S ribosomal RNA". It matches the Rfam family "Bacterial small subunit ribosomal RNA", at positions 509 to 807 of the family's 1533-position model. The record is from RNAcentral.
CAGUAGCCGCGGUAAAACGAGGGGGGCUAGCGUUGUUCGGAUUUACUGGGCGUAAAGGGCGCGUAGGCGGACUGAUAAGUCAGGGGUGAAAUCCCAAGGCUCAACCUUGGAACUGCCUUUGAUACUGUUUGUCUUGAGUUCGAGAGAGGUAAGUGGAACUGCGAGUGUAGAGGUGAAAUUCGUAGAUAUUCGCAAGAACACCAGUGGCGAAGGCGGCUUACUGGCUCGAAACUGACGCUGAGGCGCGAAAGCGUGGGGAGCAAACAGGAUUAGAUACCCCAGUAGUCCCUGUCUCUUAUAC